CAUCUGAUUUGGAAUAAAGGUUCACCGCUAUGGGAUGGGGAUGCGUCUGAUUAGCUUGUCGGCGGGGUAACGGCCCACCGAGGCAACGAUCAGUAGGGGUUCUGAGAGGAAGGUCCCCCACAUUGGUACUGAGACACGGACCAAACUCCUACGGGAGGCAGCAGUGAGGAAUAUUGGUCAAUGGGCGAGAGCCUGAACCAGCCAAGUAGCGUGCAGGAAGACUGCCCUAUGGGUUGUAAACUGCUUUUAUGCGGGAAUAAAGUGCACUACGUGUAGUGUUUUGUAUGUACCGCAUGAAUAAGGACCGGCUAAUUCCGUGCCAGCAGCCGCGGUAAUACGGAAGGUCCGGGCGUUAUCCGGAUUUAUUGGGUUUAAAGGGAGCGCAGGCUGAAGAUUAAGCGUGACGUGAAAUGUCCCGGCUCAACCGGGGAGUUGCGUCGCGAACUGGUUUUCUUGAGUGAGUGCGACGUUUGCGGAAUUCGUGGUGUAGCGGUGAAAUGCUUAGAUAUCACGAAGAACUCCGAUUGCGAAGGCAGCAGACGAGUCCUUUACUGACGCUAAUGCUCGAAAGUGCGGGUAU
Molecule: ribosomal RNA, 580 nt
Filed under: uncultured rumen bacterium
Lineage: Bacteria
Description: bacterial SSU rRNA
Rfam family: Bacterial small subunit ribosomal RNA
Source: RNAcentral